GAUGAACGCUGGCGGCGUGCCUAAUACAUGCAAGUCGAGCGAACGGACGAGAAGCUUGCUUCUCUGAUGUUAGCGGCGGACGGGUGAGUAACACGUGGAUAACCUACCUAUAAGACUGGGAUAACUUCGGGAAACCGGAGCUAAUACCGGAUAAUAUUUUGAACCGCAUGGUUCAAAAGUGAAAGACGGUCUUGCUGUCACUUAUAGAUGGAUCCGCGCUGCAUUAGCUAGUUGGUAAGGUAACGGCUUACCAAGGCAACGAUGCAUAGCCGACCUGAGAGGGUGAUCGGCCACACUGGAACUGAGACACGGUCCAGACUCCUACGGGAGGCAGCAGUAGGGAAUCUUCCGCAAUGGGCGAAAGCCUGACGGAGCAACGCCGCGUGAGUGAUGAAGGUCUUCGGAUCGUAAAACUCUGUUAUUAGGGAAGAACAUAUGUGUGAGUAACUGUGCACAUCUUGACGGUACCUAAUCAGAAAGCCACGGCUAACUACGUG
This 497-nucleotide ribosomal RNA is filed under the name uncultured bacterium. RNAcentral describes it as "partial 16S ribosomal RNA". It matches the Rfam family "Bacterial small subunit ribosomal RNA", at positions 28 to 507 of the family's 1533-position model. The record is from RNAcentral.